Molecule: ribosomal RNA, 722 nt
Filed under: Salmonella enterica subsp. enterica serovar Muenster
Lineage: Bacteria; Pseudomonadati; Pseudomonadota; Gammaproteobacteria; Enterobacterales; Enterobacteriaceae
Description: partial 23S ribosomal RNA
Rfam family: Bacterial large subunit ribosomal RNA
Source: RNAcentral
GACUCGUCACACUAUCAUUAACUGAAUCCAUAGGUUAAUGAGGCGAACCGGGGGAACUGAAACAUCUAAGUACCCCGAGGAAAAGAAAUCAACCGAGAUUCCCCCAGUAGCGGCGAGCGAACGGGGAGGAGCCCAGAGCCUGAAUCAGCAUGUGUGUUAGUGGAAGCGUCUGGAAAGGCGCGCGAUACAGGGUGACAGCCCCGUACACAAAAGCGCAUGUGCUGUGAGCUCGAUGAGUAGGGCGGGACACGUGGUAUCCUGUCUGAAUAUGGGGGGACCAUCCUCCAAGGCUAAAUACUCCUGACUGACCGAUAGUGAACCAGUACCGUGAGGGAAAGGCGAAAAGAACCCCGGCGAGGGGAGUGAAAAAGAACCUGAAACCGUGUACGUACAAGCAGUGGGAGCACAGGUUUACCUGUGUGACUGCGUACCUUUUGUAUAAUGGGUCAGCGACUUAUAUUCUGUAGCAAGGUUAACCGAAUAGGGGAGCCGGAGGGAAACCGAGUCUUAAUUGGGCGUUAAGUUGCAGGGUAUAGACCCGAAACCCGGUGAUCUAGCCAUGGGCAGGUUGAAGGUUGGGUAACACUAACUGGAGGACCGAACCGACUAAUGUUGAAAAAUUAGCGGAUGACCUGUGGCUGGGGGUGAAAGGCCAAUCAAACCGGGAGAUAGCUGGUUCUCCCCGAAAGCUAUUUAGGUAGCGCCUCGUGAAUUCAUCUCCG